CAGAAGAAAACAUCAAAUGUUUUAUAAUCUUGGGGUAGAGAAGGUAUUUCUGAGCACAACACGAUCCAGAAGUCAUAAAUGAGAAAAGUAAUCAUGAUGAAUGGCGAUUUUAAACACCUGGCAAAAAUAAAUACAAACAAACAAAAAAGCACCAUGCAAGUCAAAGACAAAGGACAGAUUGGAAAAAAAACACUUUUAAGAGACAAUGGGCUAGUUUCCUUAAUAUAUAAAGUGCUCCAGGAAAACAAUAACACGGAUGACUCUAUUGGGCAAAGAAAAUGAAACACAACUGGCUUCAUGUUUACAAUAAAUAUUUUUUCCGGUUUCAAAAUGAUUAUCUUAGUGGUAGAAAUGAUCAACAUAAAAAUAAGUCUGACAAAAGCACUGAAAUGUUCAAUUAUACUUCUAGGAAACACAAAUAAAGCUACAGGGAGUGGCUAGCCCCAUGGCGUAGUGGUUAAGUUCAUGUGCUCCACUUCAGCAGCCUGAGUUCGAGGGUUCAGAUCCCGGGCGUGGACCUAUGCACUGCUUGUCAAGCCAUGCUGUGGCAGUGUCCCACAUGUAAAGUAGAAGAUGAGUACAGAUGUUAGCUCAGGGCCAAUCUUCCUCAGGAAAAAAAAAAAAAGCUACAAUGAAAUACGAUUUUACGCCUACCAGAUCUGCAAGAUCAAGCAUUGAUGGGCAAUGGGGGACACCCCUCCUUUGCAGGGAAGGGGCAUCGUGGCAGGACCUGUUUAGAGAUCAUUUAUCCAUUCAGAGAUCUAUGGAAAGUCCUCUGACCCAGCACCUCUGCACUAAGGAAUUCAGCCUGCAGAAAUAUUCGUGCUUGGGGACAAAGGCAUUCGUACAAGGACAGUCAAUCCAGCACUGCUUGUUACAAAAUACUGGAAAGAACCUAAAUUCCUACCAACGGGAAACCUGAUAAGUAAAUUAAAGCAUCGAUAAAAUACGGUGCAGCCAUUCAAACGAAUGAGUCCCAUCUGUAUUUGGGAACGCGGAGAACACUGUCCGAGCUAAAAAUCAGGAUCGGGUAGAAACACACUCGAUGCACACGCACGGACUUUCUCUGUCGACACAUGAGAAACUGGUUUCUCUCUGCCCCCGGGGGAGCGGAACCAGGCCCUGCAGCUCAGGGGUGGGCAGGACACUGAGCUUGCGCCCAACACCCUUCACACUCUGGAUUUCUUGCUCGGGGUAUCUGAAGACAUUUUUGUCCACUUGUAAGCAGUUGCUUUGAACUCGAUGCACUGCGGACGCCCGGCUCUCAGGGAACUUACAUUCUGAUGGGGUGAAAAGGGCAACAUGCGCUGUGACAAGCGCAGGGCCAGGGGUCCGUGGGGGCAGGACACGGUCGGGGUGGAGGGGAGCCACGACUUCAGGGCAGAAACACCGCAGCAAGAGACUGAGAGGAAUUCAGUCGUGUUAAGGAAUGUUACCCAUGCUGGGGGCAUCGUCCCAAGACCAGGAUGUAAAGAGAGCCCCUCGGUCACAAAGACCAGCCUGUGCAAAGGCCCGGUGGUGGGAAGGGCAGACGAGAGAUAGGACCUCAGACGUUCUCUGCUUCAGGGAGGACACACUCACGUUCAGUUCUGCUUCUAAACGUCCUGUAUUUUCAAAAAUGUCCCUAGACCCCCAGCAAGAGGGGUCGGUGGGCCUCGGGAGGGACAAAGGCACCGGCAGCUUGAGCGCCCACACCCAGGCCAGGGCACCUCCCCGUGUUAGACAAGGGUGGGCCGCGACUCCACGGGCCCAAGGGCUGGGUCAGCCCAGAGGCCGGCCCGGGACGGCGGCGGGAGGGGCCGGCAGGAGGGCCCCGGGGGUCGCCUCCCCUCCUGCGUGACAGCGUCAGCACAGCCAUGCGGCCCGCCCUUUCUGUGCCCGGCGGGCCACCCUCAGCUCUGGGAGCACCCGGGUCCCGAUCCCGAAUGGCGAACAGGAAGUUCAGAGCACAGCACGCGGCGUGGACGGCCGCGGACCGGCGCGAACCCCGAGACCGAGCCCGCGGCGGGCGGGGAAGUGCGUGCGCCCCGCCCGGGCGGCCCGUUCUGCACCGGGGAGGCCGCGGCGCGCGAAGGCGGGGCCCGGCGGGAGCGGCGCGGAGAGCAGGGGCCCGGCCGAGCAGCCACUUACCGCCGAGCCGCGGCCUCCUCCGCGCUCCGCCGCC
Long non-coding RNA from Equus asinus (donkey), 2164 nucleotides. Lineage: Eukaryota; Metazoa; Chordata; Mammalia; Perissodactyla; Equidae. The record is from Ensembl.